GGGUGGCAUAUUUGGCAUCGUUGUGGUCGUCAGUAGCUGCAGCAGAGUGAAGUUCACCAUCGAUUUGCCGGGUAUCGGAUGCUUGGCCAUGUAGAACUGCGUGUGACCUUCGUUGCGGUAAGCUAGCUGAUGUACCGUCGGUGUAGGGGAGGGUGUGCCCUCCUCCAGCCGAUAACCCUCAUAGGCUGGCUUCUCCAGGCUGGCCAAAUAGUCGGGUAAAAUGGGCACUCACAUUGUCCAGCAGCAGAGCUAUGUACACAAUUCCAGCUAUCAGGCAGCGAUUCUCGAUGUUGCCAUUCGACUGGGGUGUUGAGCUGCGCCUGGCGGAAACGUUCAGCUUGGCCGCUGCCUGGCCACUUGUUGACUUCGCCGACAUGACACGCGCGCGCCAACAAUCCAAAUAAAUAUGCAACACUAAUACAGACGCACAAAGGCUGAAUGUUAUUACACUGGCAUAUGGCCGAGAAGAGCGGCGCCGCAAAAUAUGCUACACAAUAAUAAGCGCACACACACACAAACACACACGAACACACACUCACACGCAUGCACACACACAGCGUAAAAAGCUCGUUUAGAAGCAGAGUUUUCGCGCUCUUUAACCAACAGGUGGUGUUGCUGCCUUGUCAACGUGUAUGUGGCUAUUGAAAGGUUGCAACAAGCCGCCAAAUGCUUUUACUGGCAGCAUGCGAGCCGAACGAAACGAACGGGCACACGAGCCACAGCUACGAAAGGAAAUCAUCUAUAUUCAACAUGUGGUCCAAAAGUAGAGCGUAUGCACUGCUCCAUAUAGUUGAAAAAUCAAAUGCGAAUUCAUAACAAAUUGAACCAAAAUAUAGUGCUGCCUGCCAACAAGACAUUAUCUAUGUGGCAACCCCGAACAAAACAUAAUUAUGCAUGCAUUUCACAAUUUAUCGAUCUCCCAGCCAGAUCGUUGGUGCCUCUUUGUCCAUUUAUACGGUAUUUUAUGGUAUUUAUUAUGGAAAAAUAUUCUCUUAAUUUUAAUUAAAUGUAUAUUUUAUUUAAACUAA
Molecule: long non-coding RNA, 1028 nt
Organism: Drosophila montana
Lineage: Eukaryota; Metazoa; Arthropoda; Insecta; Diptera; Drosophilidae
Exons: 3
Source: RefSeq, a predicted model, not a curated record